UACGGAGGGGGCGAGUGUUGUUCGGAAUUACUGGGCGUAAAGGGCGCGCAGGCGGCCUGGCAAGUCGAGUGUGAAAUCCCUCGGCUUAACCGAGGAACUGCCUCCCAAACUGCUUGGCUUGAGACCGGGAGAGGUGAGUGGAAUUCCCAGUGUAGCGGUGAAAUGCGUAGAUAUUGGGAGGAACACCAGUGGCGAAGGCGGCUCACUGGACCGGUACUGACGCUGAUGCGCGAAAGCGUGGGGAGCAAACGGG
RNAcentral lists this ribosomal RNA (253 nucleotides) under uncultured bacterium. Its description in RNAcentral is "partial 16S ribosomal RNA". It matches the Rfam family "Bacterial small subunit ribosomal RNA", at positions 524 to 776 of the family's 1533-position model. The record is from RNAcentral.